UGAGCAAUCUGCCCUUCACAUCGGAAUAACCAUUGGAAACGAUGGCUAAUACCGAAUACGACCUCCUUUCGCAUGAUCGAAGGUGGAAAGCUCCGGCGGAGAAGGAUGAGCUCGCGGCCUAUCAGCUAGUUGGUGUGGGUAAUGGCCCACCAAGGCGACAACGGGUAGCCGGCCUGAGAGGGUGACCGGCCACACCGGGACUGAGACACGGCCCAGACUCCUACGGGAGGNAG
This 233-nucleotide ribosomal RNA is filed under the name uncultured bacterium. RNAcentral describes it as "partial 16S ribosomal RNA". It matches the Rfam family "Bacterial small subunit ribosomal RNA", at positions 118 to 351 of the family's 1533-position model. The record is from RNAcentral.